GUUUCAUCUCUGGACGAGACUUUCGGCCGCCGAAGGUGCCGCCGAACAUGCAUGAGUUUCGUCUCUGGAGAGGGGUUUCGGCCGCCGAACCUGCCGCCGAACGUGCCCUGUCCAGCUUUCUUUUGCAUGUUUUAUGUGAUUGUUUGAGGAUCUUUUAGAGGGUUUUUGGGGAGUUUCUUAGAGAUGUUCUUGAGUUAGUUUGGUCCCUCAUUUGA
This 215-nucleotide long non-coding RNA is filed under the name Manihot esculenta (cassava). Its description in RNAcentral is "long non-coding RNA (MESC_LNC005989)". The record is from RNAcentral. Lineage: Eukaryota; Viridiplantae; Streptophyta; Magnoliopsida; Malpighiales; Euphorbiaceae.